ACUAGAUUGCUAGUUCGAAUAUUCAGUUCAAUUCGCACUACGAGUAUAUUAUACAAGUUGUUAUUUGUUCCCAUAUCGUAAUGAAAACGAAGCCAAUAGUUUGCUGUUGUUCUCUCAAGGUAAAUUAAGGUAAACGACAAUUGCGAUUGUGAGUGCAGCAGCAGCAGCACGAGAACUAAAUACUUGUGGAAAUGAUCUGAUAUGAUGCACACCAUUAUAUUUACCAGAUGAACGCGCAAAAUUUGUAAUCGAAAAGAUUCUAGCUACGCAUAUAAAGAUACACUUACAUUUUCAACUUUUGCACAGAACCAAGAUUGAUUUAUUUUCAUAAGGUGAUUGGGACAUCAAGAGAAGACCAAAUAUAAGAUCCAAAAUCCAAAGAAUUCAACAGUUCCAUAAAUAAGCGUGUACAGUAUAUGUAAUGAACUCAUUAAGUCUAUUUAUGAUUCCAGAUCUUACAAUUUUAAAGAUUUUCAUCAUGUUGAGGGAAUAUUUAUGAAAGUACCAGAUGAAGCUUCAUCGAAAACUUUAAUUUUCAAUUUUGAGACGAUCAGAAAUUUAAAUGUGAUAUGUAGUGCAAUUUCUCAAAAUUCAACAAUUCGAGUUUUCAAUUGUUCACAUCCCUACAUCGAGAAUUCUAUAGCGGUUUCAGGAAAGCAUCUAAACACCCUAAAAGAACUCUUACAAAAUGCCUUUGCUAAACUAGUACUUUUGACUGGGUGUCAACCAAUACAAAACCGAAUUAGUCCUAUUUUCUAGGAAAUACUAAAUUCCAUGUGUUAACCCUCCUUAUAUUAUAGGAAUCCAAUUAAUCCAAUUCUCAGACGAGGCUAAGUAACUGAAUCUUAUUUUAGACAAAAAACUAAUUUAAAAACGCAAUAUACAAGAAAGAGUCAAAAAGGCUAUUGGUAAUCAAUGGGGCUUAUAACCCUGAAUUACGCAUUGGUUAUAAACGGUAAUAGGACGGAUUUCAAUGUAUGGUGUGGCAGUAUCGUGGAUUGCUUUAGAAAAAGCUAAAAAUAUCCACAAUUAAACAACGGACUCUUCGCAUGACCCCAUCUCUACCUAACACCUCUUGAUAUACUUAGCAAACAAAUAGCUUCAAGUUCCAUAUUCGCCCAAAGCUUAAUCGCCGUGGGUUUACAACAACGUUGGCUACUCCGUAAUUCUUAAAUAUUUAGGAUCUAUUUUAAAGCACACAGGCGACACCUCCAACUGAAAUUCGACAGAAACUUCCAGAUUUCCAUUCUUUCCAGAUCUUUCUGGGUAUGUGCAGAUAAGUGAAAUGACAUCACUAUGUGACAGAUCACAAAAAACAAGAGGCUUGAUAUCUCUUUAUCCAUAAGCUCGAUAAUCGGUGUUGUAACCGGGCGCUAUGUAACGCGACUAGUCGUAUUCUCAAACGACUUUUGUAGAAGCUGUUUGGAUGAGGAAGGGAGGAAACAGUUCUUGACCUUCUCUGUACUUUUUUGCAAACUGUGACUUUUUGAGGAUGCAUUAUGAUGAACCUCGCGUUGGUGGUGUCAUAAUAAAGUUUUAUCAUUUAAACGUGCUAUUCAAUCGUGUUACUUGAAUAACAAAUAAAAGAUUUGACAGGUGUCACCAAAAAAAAAACGCUCCACGGGGCUCCAAAAUCAACACGCACCAAAAAAAACCUAUGCAUAUAUCGAUAUAAACUAUCUCAAUCAUAUUAACAUAAUCAGUUUUUUACGUUUUGUAAGGAACUCAAACCGGUGUCAUUAAGCUAAGAAGAAAGCCUCAAGAUUUAUGUGGUAUCACAUAAGUCCUACAAACUGGCCUAAGUGUAUCCUACUACAUCACGACAGCCACAGGAUUUCCGUGGCAUACCUUUGUGACAAAUUAAACUUGGUUCAAAUCGAUGGAUUUUCUCCAGAAGGAUUUUGUAUUUCUCAAAGAAGUAUAGAACAUUUUUAAAGCAAAGGCACCACGAAUAUGAAUUAUGUACAUACAAACAGACUUUAGAGAUUUUUCUUUCUGCUUCUUCUCCGACAAGAAAACGAUGUCAAAAAUUCUGAUGGAAUUCUGUCACACUGUGGCCAACCAUUAAAUUUUCUACAAAGGACCUUUCGGGCUGGUUCCGCUUUGCUCAUGCGAGCACAGUAAAAAAAUUUUAAAUUUUUUGAUCUGUCAAUUUGAUCGUUCUUAUGUUCCAUUUUAAUUUACAUAUAUGUACAUAUG
Long non-coding RNA from Eupeodes corollae, 2199 nucleotides. RefSeq lists it as uncharacterized. NCBI's taxonomy places the organism in Eukaryota, Metazoa, Arthropoda, Insecta, Diptera, Syrphidae. The record is from RefSeq and is a predicted model, not a curated record. The transcript is spliced from 3 exons.